Molecule: ribosomal RNA, 859 nt
Filed under: uncultured bacterium
Lineage: Bacteria
Description: bacterial SSU rRNA
Rfam family: Bacterial small subunit ribosomal RNA
Source: RNAcentral
CUAGAGUACGAUAGAGGGAGGUAGAAUUCAUAGUGUAGCGGUGGAAUGCGUAGAUAUUAUGAAGAAUACCAGUGGCGAAGGCGGCCUCCUGGAUCUGUACUGACACUGAGGUGCGAAAGCGUGGGUAGCGAACAGGAUUAGAUACCCUGGUAGUCCACGCCGUAAACGAUGACAACUAGCUGUUAGGAGACUAUGUCUUUUAGUGGCGCAGCUAACGUUUUAAGUUGUCCGCCUGGGGAGUACGGCCGCAAGGCUAAAACUCAAAUGAAUUGACGGGGACCCGCACAAGCAGUGGAUCAUGUGGUUUAAUUCGAUGCAACGCGAAAAACCUUACCUACUCUUGACAUACUUGGAAGCUCUUGUAAUGAGAGUGUGCUUUUAAGAACCAAGAUACAGGUGCUGCAUGGCUGUCGUCAGCUCGUGUCGUGAGAUGUUCCGUUAAGUCGGAUAACGAGCGCAACCCUUACCCUUAUUUGCCAGCGAUUCGGUCGGGAACUAUAAGGGGACUGCCGGUGAUAAACCGGAGGAAGGUGAGGACGACGUCAAGUCAUCAUGGCCCUUACGAGUAGGGCUACACACGUGAUACAAUGGGAGAGACAGACGGACGCUAAGCCGCGAGGUGGUGCUAAUCCUAGAAACUCUCUCGUAGUCCGGAUUGGAGUCUGCAACUCGACUCCAUGAAGUUGGAAUUGCUAGUAAUCGCGGAUCAGCAUGCCGCGGUGAAUACGUUCUCGGGUCUUGUACACACCGCCCGUCACACCAUGGAAGUGGAUUGCACCAGAAGUAGAUAGUCUAACCUUAGGGAAGGCGUUUACCACGGUGUGCUUCAUGACUGGGGUGAAGUCGUAACAAGGUAACC